AUACGUAGGGGGCAAGCGUUGAUCGGAAUUACUGGGCGUAAAGCGUGCGCAGGCGGUUCGGAAAGAAGGAUGUGAAAUACCAGGGCUCAACCUUGGAACUGCAUUCUUAACUACCGAACUAGAGUAUGUCAGAGGGGGGUAGAAUUCCGCGUGAAGCAGUGAAAUGCGUAGAUAUGCGGAGGAAAACCGAUGGCGAAGGUAGCCCCUUGGGAUAAUACUGACGCUCAUGCACGAAAGAGUGGGUAGCAAACAGGAUUAGAUACCCUGGUAGUCCACGCCCUAAACGAUGUCAACUAGCUGUUGGGCCCUUCGGGGCUUAGUAGCGUAGCUAACGCGUGAAGUUGACCGCCUGGGGAGUACGGUCGCAAGAUUAAAACUCAAAUGAAUUGGCGGGG
RNAcentral lists this ribosomal RNA (395 nucleotides) under uncultured bacterium. Its description in RNAcentral is "partial 16S ribosomal RNA". It matches the Rfam family "Bacterial small subunit ribosomal RNA", at positions 523 to 918 of the family's 1533-position model. The record is from RNAcentral.